UACGUAGGUGGCAAGCGUUGUCCGGAUUUAUUGGGUUUAAAGGGUGCGUAGGCGGCCUAUUAAGUCAGUGCUGAAAUAUCCCGGCUUAACCGGGAGGGUGGCAUUGAUACUGAUGGGCUUGAGUAGAGUUGAGGUUGGCGGAAUUGACGGUGUAGCGGUGAAAUGCUUAGAUAUCGUCAAGAACACCUAUUGCGAAGGCAGCUAACUAAGCUCAAACUGACGCUGAGGCACGAAAGUGUGGGGAGCGAACGGG
This 253-nucleotide ribosomal RNA is filed under the name uncultured bacterium. Its description in RNAcentral is "partial 16S ribosomal RNA". It matches the Rfam family "Bacterial small subunit ribosomal RNA", at positions 524 to 776 of the family's 1533-position model. The record is from RNAcentral.